GACGAACGCUGGCGGCGUGCCUAAUACAUGCAAGUCGAGCGAUGAAGCUUGGUGCUUGCUCCACUUUCGAGAGCAGCGAACGGGUGAGUAACGCGUGGGUAAUCUGCCUUUGAGCGUGGGACAACUUUUGGAAACGAAUGCUAAUACCGCAUAAUAUCUUUAAACAUAUGGUUUAAUUGUGAAAGAUGCAAUUGCUUCACCUAAUGAAUAUCUCGCGUUCGAUUAGCUAGUUGGGUAAGUAAAGGCCCUACAAGGCGAUCAUACCUAGCCGACCUGAGAGGGGGGUCGGCCAAAAUGGGAAUGAGACCAGGCCCAAAAUCCUAAGGGAAGGAGCCAUAAGGAAUCCUCGGCAAUGGACGAAAGGCUGACCGAACAACGGCGGGGGAGGGAAUGAAGGUUUCCGAUCCUAAAAAUCUGUUGGUAGGGAAGAACGUUAGGGGGAGGGGAAAGCGCAUCAAGUGACGGUAACUACCCAGAAAGCGACGGCUAACUACGUG
This 497-nucleotide ribosomal RNA is filed under the name uncultured bacterium. RNAcentral describes it as "partial 16S ribosomal RNA". It matches the Rfam family "Bacterial small subunit ribosomal RNA", at positions 28 to 507 of the family's 1533-position model. The record is from RNAcentral.